This 1454-nucleotide unclassified non-coding RNA is filed under the name Orbicella faveolata. RNAcentral's name for it is "serine/arginine-rich splicing factor 2-like, transcript variant X1". The record is from RNAcentral. Lineage: Eukaryota; Metazoa; Cnidaria; Anthozoa; Scleractinia; Merulinidae.
AUUAUUUCGCAAUUCGUAUUAGACGACACGUGGAAGCAAGAAAGACGCCAUUUUGAAGGUUCGUUGUCAUCAUGAGCUUCGAUAGCAGCCGAGGGCCACCUCAAAUUGAGGGAAUGACUAGUCUAAAAGUCGACAACCUCACUUAUCGUACAACCACGGGUGAUUUGACCAAGGUAUUCUCGAAAUACGGCGAACUCGGUGACGUUUACAUCCCGCGCGAUCGCUACAAACAAGAAUCCCGAGGGUUUGCUUUUGUCAGAUUCCACGAGAAACGCGAUGCUGAAGACGCAAUGGAUUCCUUACAUGGAACAAUCAUCGAUGGACGAGAAAUCCGAGUGCAGAUGGCAAAAUACGGAAGACCCUCAGAAUCUUACAAGCCGCGUAAUCGUUACAGAAACUCGAACUACGGCGGCUCACGAUAUCGUUCACGUUCACGGUCCCCUAGACGCAGGGCACGUCGCUCUCGUUCCAGAUCGCCUCGUUAUCGCCGCUCACGAUCACAUUCGCGCUCACCACGCAGAACUCGUCAAAGUCACUCACGGUCACCAAGGAAACAAGAUAGUCGUUCCCGGUCCAGAAGUCCACGUCGUAGAAGAUCACAUUCGAGAUCACGUUCAAAGUCAGGCUCAAAACCAAGGCAGUCUCGUUCCAGGUCCCAUUCUCGCUCUAAAUCCCUUUCAAGGUCUCCAAAGAAUAUAAAGUCAAGAUCUCAUUCUAGGUCUCCCAAGCAAAGAAGGUCCCCAACUCCUGACCGAGGAAGUCAAGAAGGUGAUGGAGAGAAUGAUGGCCCUUCCCAAAACAACCAGUCGAAUGUCGAUGAUGGAGCAGAAAACAAUGCAGAUGACUAAGCUUUCCAUCCUGGUUUUACUUUGACUGUGGUGCAGUAAUCAGUUUCUUUUAAGUAUUCUCUUCCAGGGUUUGUUGCUGUUCUGGAGAAGGGGAGUAAACUUUUGUUGCAGAGCAUAGAGGGAAUGGAAUGGGCGUUCCUCCGUUUUAGGCGCAGUUUAUUUAUACUUGCUGUGCGGGUUGACUGGUCAUGCUGUGACCAUGGCUGCAGUGUUUUGCUGUUUUCUGCCGUUGACGAAGGAGCCCAUGCUGUUGCAGACUCCUGUUAGUUGGCGUUGUCGCUGUCCAGUUUCCUGAUUGGUUGCUGAUCGUCAAUCAUUCUAUUCAACUAAAUUUGCCCUUUAAGUCCAAAGAGUGAUCAUAAGUAAUCUGUCCUUGUUUUGUUGAGCUAAACAAUAAUGCAAGCCAGAAGAUGAUCACUAAAGGGAUAUUGUCUUGAUAUUUAUACAAAUUCUCCCAACAAGUGCCUUUUUCAAAUUAUCAUGGCCGGCAGGGAGAAUUUGUAUUGUGCAUGGGUUACUGACCAAGCGUGAGGGCAAGAUGGCUGGACAUUGGCUGAGUUCUUUUGUGUGUGUUUAUGGACCAAGAUGGAGUCUAGGUCCAUAAAC